GGAGGGUGCAAGCGUUAAUCGGAAUCACUGGGCGUAAAGCGUACGUAGGCGGCGCAUCAAGUCAGGCGUGAAAGCCCUCGGCUCAACCGAGGAAUUGCGUUUGAAACUGUUGUGCUUGAGUCUCGGAGAGGUUGGCGGAAUUCCAGGUGUAGGAGUGAAAUCCGUAGAGAUCUGGAGGAAUACCGAUGGCGAAGGCAGCCAUCUGGCCUAAUACUGACGCUGAGGUACGAAAGCAUGGGGAGCAAACAGGAUUAGAUACCCUGGUAGUCCAUGCCGUAAACGAUGUCUACUAGCCGUUGGG
Molecule: ribosomal RNA, 301 nt
Filed under: uncultured bacterium
Lineage: Bacteria
Description: partial 16S ribosomal RNA
Rfam family: Bacterial small subunit ribosomal RNA
Source: RNAcentral